RNAcentral lists this ribosomal RNA (247 nucleotides) under uncultured Leptotrichia sp. RNAcentral describes it as "partial 16S ribosomal RNA". It matches the Rfam family "Bacterial small subunit ribosomal RNA", at positions 109 to 356 of the family's 1533-position model. The record is from RNAcentral. Lineage: Bacteria; Fusobacteriati; Fusobacteriota; Fusobacteriia; Fusobacteriales; Leptotrichiaceae.
AGUAACGUGUAAAGAACUUGCCCUUUAGACUGGGAUAACAGAGGGAAACUUCUGAUAAUACUGGAUAAGUUAGUAUAUCGCAUGAUAUGCAAAUGAAAGNCUACGGCACUAAAGGAGAGCUUUGCGUCCUAUUAGCUAGUUGGUAAGGUAAGAGCUUACCAAGGCGAUGAUAGGUAGCCGGCCUGAGAGGGUGGACGGCCACAUUGGGACUGAGACACGGCCCAAACUCCUACGGGAGGCAGCAGCG